AGAGUUUGAUCCUGGCUCAGGACGAACGCUGGCGGCGUGCUUAACACAUGCAAGUCGAGCGGUAAGGCCCCUUCGGGGGUACACGAGCGGCGAACGGGUGAGUAACACGUGAGCAAUCUGCCCUUCACACAGGGAUAACCUCGGGAAACCGAUGCUAAUACCUGAUACGACCACUUCAGGCAUCUGAUGGUGGUGGAAAGUUCUGGCGGUGAAGGAUGAGCUCGCGGCCUAUCAGCUUGUUGGUGGGGUAAUGGCCUACCAAGGCAACGACGGGUAGCCGGCCUGAGAGGGUGACCGGCCACACUGGGACUGAGACACGGCCCAGACUCCUACGGGAGGCAGCAGUGGGGAAUAUUGGACAAUGGGCGAAAGCCUGAUCCAGCAACGCCGCGUGAGGGAUGACGGCCUUCGGGUUGUAAACCUCUUUCAGCAGGGACGAAGCGCAAGUGACGGUACCUGCAGAAGAAGCACCGGCCAACUACGUGCCAGCAGCCGCGGUAAUACGUAGGGUGCGAGCGUUGUCCGGAAUUAUUGGGCGUAAAGGGCUCGUAGGCGGUUUGUCGCGUCGGGAGUGAAAACUCAGGGCUUAACCCUGAGCCUGCUUCCGAUACGGGCAGACUAGAGGUAUGCAGGGGAGAACGGAAUUCCUGGUGUAGCGGUGAAAUGCGCAGAUAUCAGGAGGAACACCGGUGGCGAAGGCGGUUCUCUGGGCAUUACCUGACGCUGAGGAGCGAAAGUGUGGGGAGCGAACAGGAUUAGAUACCCUGGUAGUCCACGCCGUAAACGAUGGGCACUAGGUGUAGGAGGUAUCGACCCCUUCUGUGCCGUAGUUAACACAAUAAGUGCCCCGCCUGGGGAGUACGGCCGCAAGGUUGAAACUCAAAUGAAUUGACGG
This 895-nucleotide ribosomal RNA is filed under the name uncultured bacterium. RNAcentral's name for it is "bacterial SSU rRNA". It matches the Rfam family "Bacterial small subunit ribosomal RNA", at positions 8 to 916 of the family's 1533-position model. The record is from RNAcentral.